AUUGAACGCUGGCGGCAUGCCUUACACAUGCAAGUCGAACGGUAACGGGCCUUCGGGUGCCGACGAGUGGCGCACGGGUGAGUAAUACAUCGGAACGUGCCCGAUCGUGGGGGAUAACGAGGCGAAAGCUUUGCUAAUACCGCAUACGAUCUACGGAUGAAAGCAGGGGACCGCAAGGCCUUGCGCGGACGGAGCGGCCGAUGGCAGAUUAGGUAGUUGGUGGGAUAAAAGCUUACCAAGCCGACGAUCUGUAGCUGGUCUGAGAGGAUGAUCAGCCACACUGGGACUGAGACACGGCCCAGACUCCUACGGGAGGCAGCAGUGGGGAAUUUUGGACAAUGGGCGCAAGCCUGAUCCAGCCAUGCCGCGUGCAGGAUGAAGGCCUUCGGGUUGUAAACUGCUUUUGUACGGAACGAAAAGCCUUCUUUUAAUACAGGAGGGUCAUGACGGUACCGUAAGAAUAAGCACCGGCUAAUUACGUG
This 482-nucleotide ribosomal RNA is filed under the name uncultured bacterium. RNAcentral's name for it is "partial 16S ribosomal RNA". It matches the Rfam family "Bacterial small subunit ribosomal RNA", at positions 30 to 507 of the family's 1533-position model. The record is from RNAcentral.